Non-coding RNA from Nylanderia fulva, 943 nucleotides. Lineage: Eukaryota; Metazoa; Arthropoda; Insecta; Hymenoptera; Formicidae. The record is from RefSeq and is a predicted model, not a curated record.
CUUUGUUUUUUUAUUCAUUGGUAAACAUUCGAGUUUGGACUUGUGCAACGUAUAUUUGCGAAGAAAUUUUCUGAGUAAAAAUCGAGAGCAUACUCGUAUAUUUUUGGGCAAUUUUGUAUGGCAGCCAUUUUAUAAAUCGUCGCAACAUCCGCAUUCACUUCAAUGUUCCGAAUAUAAUCUGUUUGAAACAAAUGAAUCGUCUUUGCGUUCUUCAUCAUCUUCGUAAUUUCGUCUGCAUUCCGUGAAUAAGGAGAUACAGGAUAGAAUUUCUCAGGUGGAUAAAUUGUGAACUGCUGACAUUCUUUGUUCUGCAAAAAUGAGGAUCAAUGAGAGAUGACUCGUGCAACUUACGUCAACACUAUGCUGUUUAGAUUCAAUGUCACGCCGCCAAACUUCCACAAUGUCAACAUCCGGAUGUAAUCGUGAAAGUUCUUAUACAGCCAGUCACGAUUCUCCGAAAAUUUGCGGAUAUUUGUCGAAAACCAACUUUCUAUCGGCGUAUCGAUAACGUAUCUUGACAAAUGUAUUCGUCUUAUGUACACAUUGUCGUAUGUUUGCAAGAUAUCGACGAACUCUUGGGACCUAUCAGAAAACUGGCCUGUCGCGGAAAGGAGCACGAAGAUAUUCAAAUUACGAUUGUUCCUGGCUGCCGAUUCUACGGCACAAGCUUGAAGAGAGGUAAAAUUUGGCGGUGAACAACUGGUCUCGUGGAAGAAUAUGCAUCUGCUUGGUAUCAGCAUUUGUUCAUCUGGAAAUUGACAAGUAUGUACACAUAUACUCGAGCAAACUUCUGAACGUUAUCUUUUAAAUCGAAAUAUAUAUUUACGCAAAAAUAAUCAGUUUAAUCAGAAUAAAAUACGACUCAAAUAACAAAAAUAUAUAUAAAUUUUAAAACUCAUUAAAAACUCAUUAAAUUCAUUCAAAACACAUUUUCAAAAUAUUU